This 71-nucleotide transfer RNA is filed under the name Marmota marmota marmota (Alpine marmot). It matches the Rfam family "tRNA". From Rfam's summary of the family: Transfer RNA (tRNA) molecules are approximately 80 nucleotides in length. Their secondary structure includes four short double-helical elements and three loops (D, anti-codon, and T loops). The record is from Rfam by way of RNAcentral. Lineage: Eukaryota; Metazoa; Chordata; Mammalia; Rodentia; Sciuridae. RNAcentral also lists the same sequence under 1 other name.
GUAGAUGUGGCUCAGUGGUAGAGUGCUUGCCUGACCUGCUUGAGGCCCAGGGUUCAAUCCCCAGCACCACA